Molecule: ribosomal RNA, 437 nt
Filed under: uncultured bacterium
Lineage: Bacteria
Description: bacterial SSU rRNA
Rfam family: Bacterial small subunit ribosomal RNA
Source: RNAcentral
GACGAACGCUGGCGGCGCGCCUAACACAUGCAAGUCGAACGAGAGAGAGGGAGCUUGCUUCCCCAAUCGAGUGGCGAACGGGUGAGUAACGCGUGAGGAACCUGCCUCAAAGAGGGGGACAACAGUUGGAAACGACUGCUAAUACCGCAUAAGCCCACAGCUCGGCAUCGAGCAGAGGGAAAAGGAGCAAUCCGCUUUGAGAUGGCCUCGCGUCCGAUUAGCUAGUUGGUGAGGUAAUGGCCCACCAAGGCGACGAUCGGUAGCCGGACUGAGAGGUUGAACGGCCACAUUGGGACUGAGACACGGCCCAGACUCCUACGGGAGGCAGCAGUGGGGAAUAUUGCACAAUGGGGGAAACCCUGAUGCAGCGACGCCGCGUGGAGGAAGAAGGUCUUCGGAUUGUAAACUCCUGUUGUUGAGGAAGAUAAUGACGGUAC